Apus apus (common swift) is the source of this 1883-nucleotide long non-coding RNA. RefSeq lists it as uncharacterized. NCBI's taxonomy places the organism in Eukaryota, Metazoa, Chordata, Aves, Apodiformes, Apodidae. The record is from RefSeq and is a predicted model, not a curated record. The transcript has 5 exons.
GCCCGUGUCCGCCCGGAGGAGCGGGCGGCAGAGGAGGAGGAGGCCCGGCCGGCGGGUCUCGGCGCGGCCCGGCUGCAGGAGGGCGCGGGGAGCCCCGGGGGAGGCGGGCGCUGUGCGCCCCCCAGGGCGGGCGCAGCCUCCCCGGAACCUCCCGCUCCCUCCGCAGCUCCAGCAGAAGGGCCGGCGGCAGCGCCUGGUCGCCGAGGACGGGAGUGCCCCUGCGGUGCUGGGGGCUGGAGGUGCCGGCUGUGGGCACCGCGCCCCUGGGCAGCUGUGACCUCUUGGCUGCAGGCUCCCAGAGCAGCAGCGGGAACCUCUGGAAACGUGGCGAGGGAUUUCAACAGCUGGAGCCCUUAUGGGACAUCCCCGUGGUGGGCUUAGUCAACAGCCUCAAGUUCUCAGCAGCUGGUGACUUCCUGGGGUCUCGGGCAGGAGCACAGGCUUGGCCGGUGGUGGGGGCUCAAAGAAGCUAAACCCAGCAUUUGCAUCAUCCCCCUGAAGUGGAGGACCACAGCCCUGAAGGCCCCAGACAGCUCCUGGCCCCUGAGCCCUUGGCCCCAGAGCCCCUGACACAGAGGAACUGACACAGCUCAGUCCUGGGACUUGGACCAUGUCAUCGUAGCUCCCUUGUGAAGCCUUUCACAGCUGUGCCACCCACUGGGUUAAGACUUCGAUGUCUGGGAGUGGUGCAGGAUAGAAGUCCAUGAACCCGGUCAGGGUUUCCUUCGUGGAUUGACCUUUUGCCCUUCCCUACUUGACCCAAACGGUUGUGUGGUCCUAGUCCCUGCAGAUUCGCUUUGCAGGGUUCCAGCUCCCGCGGUCCUUUCCCCCUUUAAGCUCCAUUGGCUGGAAAAGGAUGCAGGUGCAGGAGCCUGAGAAAGCAGUUCCCAAUGUCAUGAACCUGGUGGAACCUGGUGGCUCCUGCUGGUCCCUGGGGACAACAAGCACCCUGUAGCAAAGUACCUGGAGUGCUCUGAGUCCAGAGACUUGAAAGCGUUUUCUGCAGAACCCCUCCUUGUUUACCCCACCCACAACCCUGGGCCGCCAGGCUACCUCAGUGACACAGAGACCUUGACCAUCUGGGGCAAUGAAACCACGUCAAGGGACUGCGACAGCACACGCUCCUGGACAUCCCAGCAGCAGGGCGAGAUCCACAGCGACGCCCAGAGCAAGGAUGCCCGGCCUUCCCAGUCAUCUCUCAACGUGCCAUCCUCCAGGGAUGAACUCUGCCUGCCUGCUUUCCCUGGGACUCUGCUGACAGCUGAACCUGCUUUAGCUUUUCACCCUGGAAAGCUGUAGAGCAGCUCUUCAUGUGGUCUCCUUCCCACGGCUUUGAACAGCAAAGCACAGUGGUUGGUCCUGACAACUAACCAAGCCCCUCGGUCUGGGUAGGAGAUGGUGGUAAGAAGCUUGGUGUGGCCUUCAGAAGCAGGACAUCUGUGUGCUGGUGAGCAUCCAGCUUGUUGUCAUGUUUCCCUGCGGAUGCGAGUACCACGUUACUAAGUUGUUCCAUCUCGGCUGGAGCUGUGGUGGGAAAGGUGCACCAGAAGAGCAGGGUCCCAGCUUGGCGUAACGCCCGUGGCCACAAUCUAGCUGAUUGGUCAUUUUAUCUUCAUGCACGGGGGGUGGGUGUGUGUGGACAGAAAUGUCUAUUUAGCAGGUUCUGCCUGUGCUGACAAGGGCUGUUUUCAGUUCCUUGGCAGGUGUUGCCUGAGCUUUUUUCCUACUCAGAAUUAACCGUGUUUUGCAAAAGCAGGAGCCAGUUGAAGCACUUGGUGUUCUUCUGCUUUUUUCCACUUUCCAUGCGCUUAUUUUAUCUUUGACUCACCUAACGGGCUUGAAAACUGAGCACAGGUGGGAACACCAGCUUGACCCACCCUUGA